GUGACGCGCGUGACUGCAGCUGCUCCUCACACCCGGGAAAGUUACAAGUAAUGGAGAACAAGAGAGGACGACAGGACCACAGAUAAUCUUUGAAACAACAAAAGAAACCUUAAACAACAGGCUAAAUAGUCGAUCAUAUAUGGUCUACUGGAAAUUAAGCACCAGUCUUUCGAGCACAAACGCCAUCAACGUCGUCUGCCCAACAAGCCUGCAUGAAGCUGCAGCUGGACUGGGAAUGUCAUCAGCACCAAACCCCCGACACUUCUCCAUCCCCCUGUGUGCUGAGGCAGACAAGAGGCGAGCCUGAAAUGUAGCUGUGUACAUUCUCUGCUUCCUCACAUUAAUGUUUUGUAAACAAUAAGGAGAUAA
Long non-coding RNA from Monopterus albus (swamp eel), 369 nucleotides. RefSeq lists it as uncharacterized. NCBI's taxonomy places the organism in Eukaryota, Metazoa, Chordata, Actinopteri, Synbranchiformes, Synbranchidae. The record is from RefSeq and is a predicted model, not a curated record. The transcript has 3 exons.